GUGAGGAAUAUUGGACAAUGGGCGAAAGCCUGAUCCAGCCAUGCCGCGUGUGUGAAGAAGGUCUUCGGAUUGUAAAGCACUUUAAGUUGGGAGGAAGGGCAGUAAGUUAAUACCUUGCUGUUUUGACGUUACCGACAGAAUAAGCACCGGCUAACUUCGUGCCAGCAGCCGCGGUAAUACGAAGGGUGCAAGCGUUAAUCGGAAUUACUGGGCGUAAAGCGCGCGUAGGUGGUUUUGUAAGUUGGAGGUGAAAUCCCCGGGCUCAACCUGGGAACUGCCUCCAAAACUGCAUGACUAGAGUACGGUAGAGGGUAGUGGAAUUUCCUGUGUAGCGGUGAAAUGCGUAGAUAUAGGAAGGAACACCAGUGGCGAAGGCGACUACCUGGACUGAUACUGACACUGAGGUGCGAAAGCGUGGGGAGCAAACAGGAUUAGAAACCCCGGUAGUCC
This 450-nucleotide ribosomal RNA is filed under the name uncultured bacterium. RNAcentral describes it as "partial 16S ribosomal RNA". It matches the Rfam family "Bacterial small subunit ribosomal RNA", at positions 354 to 796 of the family's 1533-position model. The record is from RNAcentral.